UGUUCAGGCAUACUCUAUGGAGCUGGUUCUAGGCGAUCGUGACGACGUGUGUCAGAGGUCAAGGAGAGGUAUGCUAAGGUGUGUCUGACUUGCCUCCCUUGCACCGCCCCUCACUGGUCAUCUAUCCUCCGCUACAGCUUCCGUUCAUCAGUGGAUGAAGGGUGUCAUCUCCCUCGAUUCUGCCAUGGACCCCGAGUACUGGGAAAUCAUCAGCACCUUCCUACACCAAGGCCCCCACCUACGUCUCCAAGAGCUGUAUUAUUGAUCUUUUUCCCCGUCCCAACUCCCAAAUAGGGGGAGCAGAAAGAAUCAUACUACAGGAGAUGCAAGAAGUUCUUUCUACGGAGGAGUUGUCUGUUGCUAUUAGAUCCACGAAGAUGAAGGGAUUUGAGAGCUUUACAAGGAUUCUGGAGGAACAUAAAGCUUAAGCAUUGCCUGGAUAAAUUUGAGCAUAUCCUUAAUUUUCUGCUCU
Molecule: long non-coding RNA, 472 nt
Organism: Lolium rigidum
Lineage: Eukaryota; Viridiplantae; Streptophyta; Magnoliopsida; Poales; Poaceae
Exons: 2
Source: RefSeq, a predicted model, not a curated record